Molecule: ribosomal RNA, 525 nt
Filed under: uncultured delta proteobacterium
Lineage: Bacteria; Deltaproteobacteria
Description: bacterial SSU rRNA
Rfam family: Bacterial small subunit ribosomal RNA
Source: RNAcentral
UGGCGGCGUGCCUUACACAUGCAAGUCGUACGAGAACUCUUUAAGCUUGCUUAGAGAUAGUAAAGUGGCGCACGGGUGAGUAACGCGUGGGUAAUCUAUCUUUGAAUUGGGGAUAACCCCGCGAAAGCGGGGCUAAUACCGAAUAAUAUCCCGAGAACUUAGGUUUUUGGGAUCAAAGGUGGCCUCUACAUGUAAGCUACUGUUUAGAGAUGAGCCCGCGUACCAUUAGCUUGUUGGUAGGGUAAUGGCCUACCAAGGCAACGAUGGUUAGCUGGUCUGAGAGGAUGAUCAGCCACACUGGAACUGACACACGGUCCAGACUCCUACGGGAGGCAGCAGUGAGGAAUUUUGCGCAAUGGGGGAAACCCUGACGCAGCAACGCCGCGUGAGUGAUGAAGGCUUUCGGGUCGUAAAGCUCUGUCGAGUGGGAAGAACAAAAAAGGUUGUAAUACACCUUUUUCUGACGGUACCACUAAAGGAAGCACCGGCUAACUCCGUGCCAGCAGCCGCGGUAAUACGAAGGGC